This 497-nucleotide ribosomal RNA is filed under the name uncultured bacterium. Its description in RNAcentral is "partial 16S ribosomal RNA". It matches the Rfam family "Bacterial small subunit ribosomal RNA", at positions 899 to 1397 of the family's 1533-position model. The record is from RNAcentral.
ACUCAAAUGAAUUGACGGGGGCCCGCACAAGCAGCGGAGCAUGUGGUUUAAUUCGACGCAACGCGAAGAACCUUACCUGGGCUUGACAUGUUCUUGAUCGGCGUGGAAACACGUCUUCCCUCACGGGCAAGAUCACAGGUGGUGCAUGGCUGUCGUCAGCUCGUGUCGUGAGAUGUUGGGUUAAGUCCCGCAACGAGCGCAACCCCCGUCGUAUGUUGCCAGCAUUUAGUUGGGGACUCAUGCGAGACUGCCGGUGGCAAACCGGAGGAAGGUGGGGAUGACGUCAAGUCAUCAUGCCCCUUAUGUCCAGGGCUACACACGUGCUACAUUGGCGUAUACAAAGGGUUGCGAUACCGCGAGGUGGAGCGAAUCUCACAAAGUACGUCUCGGUUCGGAUUGCAGGCUGAAACUCGCCUGCAUGAAGGUGGAGUUGCUAGUAAUCGUGGAUCAGCAAUGCCGCGGUGAAUACGUUCCCGGGCCUUGUACACACCGCCCGU